RNAcentral lists this ribosomal RNA (654 nucleotides) under Salmonella enterica. RNAcentral's name for it is "partial 23S ribosomal RNA". It matches the Rfam family "Bacterial large subunit ribosomal RNA", at positions 1 to 688 of the family's 2925-position model. The record is from RNAcentral. Lineage: Bacteria; Pseudomonadati; Pseudomonadota; Gammaproteobacteria; Enterobacterales; Enterobacteriaceae. RNAcentral also lists the same sequence under 1 other name.
GGGUUGUGAGGUUAAGCGACUAAGCGUACACGGUGGAUGCCCUGGCAGUCAGAGGCGAUGAAGGACGUGCUAAUCUGCGAUAAGCGCCGGUAAGGUGAUAUGAACCGUUAUAACCGGCGAUUUCCGAAUGGGGAAACCCAGUGUGACUCGUCACACUAUCAUUAACUGAAUCCAUAGGUUAAUGAGGCGAACCGGGGGAACUGAAACAUCUAAGUACCCCGAGGAAAAGAAAUCAACCGAGAUUCCCCCAGUAGCGGCGAGCGAACGGGGAGGAGCCCAGAGCCUGAAUCAGCAUGUGUGUUAGUGGAAGCGUCUGGAAAGGCGCGCGAUACAGGGUGACAGCCCCGUACACAAAAGCGCAUGUGCUGUGAGCUCGAUGAGUAGGGCGGGACACGUGGUAUCCUGUCUGAAUAUGGGGGGACCAUCCUCCAAGGCUAAAUACUCCUGACUGACCGAUAGUGAACCAGUACCGUGAGGGAAAGGCGAAAAGAACCCCGGCGAGGGGAGUGAAAAAGAACCUGAAACCGUGUACGUACAAGCAGUGGGAGCACCCUUUGGGGUGUGACUGCGUACCUUUUGUAUAAUGGGUCAGCGACUUAUAUUCUGUAGCAAGGUUAACCGUAUAGGGGAGCCGGAGGGAAACCGAGUCUUAAC